UAGUCCACGCCGUAAACGAUGAUUACUCGUUGUUGGUCGUAUACAUAGUCAGCGACUGAGCGAAAGCAUUAAGGUAAUCCACCUGGGGAGUACGUUGGCAACAAUGAAACUCGAAAGGAAUUGACGGGGGCCCGCACAAGCGGAGGAACAUGUGGUUUAAUUCGAUGAUACGCGAGGAACCUUACCUGGACUUAAAUGUAGUUUGACAGCUUUAGAGUAUAGAGUUUUCUUCGGACAAAUUACAAGGUGCUGCAUGGUUGUCGUCAGCUCGUGCCGUGAGGUGUCGGGUUAAGUCCCAUAACGAGCGCAACCCCUAUUGUUAGUUACCAGCACGUUAAGGUGGGGACUCUAACAAGACUGCCGGUGUAAACCGAGAGGAAGGUGGGGAUGACGUCAAAUCAGCACGGCCCUUACGUCCAGGGCUACACACGUGUUACAAUGGUCGGUACAAAGGGCAGCUACACAGCAAUGUGAUGCUAAUCUCUAAAACCGGUCUCAGUUCGGAUCGGAGUCUGCAACUCGACUCCG
Molecule: ribosomal RNA, 528 nt
Filed under: uncultured bacterium
Lineage: Bacteria
Description: bacterial SSU rRNA
Rfam family: Bacterial small subunit ribosomal RNA
Source: RNAcentral